AAAAACUCUAAAGUAAUUUUAAACAGAGAAAAAAGAAAUCUAACCUAAUGGCGUGACAUUUUCAUUAUUAUUUUAUCUGGAAGAGAAAUAGUAAAAUCAAAGUAUAUGAAAAGAAGAAUGAUAAGACUUCAGUAUAAAUAUCUUACAAGUUACAGGAUUAGCUGCUAGUUGGGAAAUCCAGUCAUGUUUUAUGCCUCACAGUAUAUGUUUGGAAUAAUAGGAAGGAACCUGCAAAGAUCAUUGAGACCCACUGCCUGACCUCUUGAGGACUAAGCAGGCAUUCAAGCAUGAUUUUGAGGGCAGUCUUCAAAUGCCUCCUGAACACUGGUGUGGGGCAUCAACCACCUCUUUAGGAAGCUUGUUCCAUUGUAUGACCACCCUCACUGUAAAGACAUGUUUCCAACACCCAGUCUGACCCUCACCUGGCUUACUUUGUGUCAUUCCUGUCCUUCUAGCAGUUGCUAGGAGCAGAGCUCAGCACCACCAUCUGCUUCCCUCCUCGGGGAGAUGCAGGGAGCAGCAAAAUGAUGAUCGUGGUAGGUUGCGUACAGCCAGUGGAGGGAAAAUGGCAGUAGGAAAAAUAAGAGUCCAAAUAAAUUUGCUCAUAAAAGCUCAUACCUACACCCAGAAUUGUGCUGUGAAGUUUUCCCUUCCAUUAGGACAUAAUUUUAAAGCAUCAGUUACUCAAUAUUAGAGUAGCAUGAUUGGAAGGCAGCCCUAUGAGUCCUGCAAGAGCAAAGGUACUGCUGCAUCUUGUUAUACGUGCAGUGUAGUGUGAAUUUAGUGUGAGUUACAUUGGCAUAAAAAACAUUAGAAAUAUCACUGUACUUUCACCAUAAAAAUACUGUGUAGAGUAAAAAAAAAAAAAAAAAAAAAAAAAAAAAGAUAAUCAAAUAUUCUCUCUGGACUAAUUAUUUUCUUUUAAAAAGACUCUGCUAAACCAAUCUUUGUCUUAUUUGCAGUUGCUCACAAAUAUGCGUAAUUGAUGGAAAAAGGAGAAAUAUUCUUUGGAUGCUAUGCCGCCAGCUAUUUGCAUGGCACCACAGAUGUGUGUGGCACUCAGGAGUCUGAUCUGCAGGAAGAGUGCACUCAAAAACACCAAGACGUUUUCAGCGAAGUGUAUCGAACUACUGAGUGGCUGAGAAGAAAACCAAAAGAAAGGCAUCCUGGUGUUUGUCAGGAGAAAUGA
This 1189-nucleotide long non-coding RNA is filed under the name Phasianus colchicus (ring-necked pheasant). RNAcentral describes it as "lncRNA (ENSPCLG00000008813.1)". The record is from RNAcentral. Lineage: Eukaryota; Metazoa; Chordata; Aves; Galliformes; Phasianidae.